This is a long non-coding RNA of Manacus vitellinus (golden-collared manakin), 296 nucleotides long. RefSeq lists it as uncharacterized. The record is from RefSeq and is a predicted model, not a curated record. Lineage: Eukaryota; Metazoa; Chordata; Aves; Passeriformes; Pipridae. The transcript has 3 exons.
AGUGCUGGUGUGAAACAGUCCGGCUUUACAACUGGUUCAGUGCGCCCUGUGAAUGGUUCCUCACUGUCAACAAACCUGCCAAGAAGGUGGACAAACGUUUGACACCGGCCGUGCGUCAGAAGGAGCUCCAGGCUGCGAAGGAUGAUUCCCGUGUCUUUCAGUGGAAGGCCCGGGAGGGAACCCUCUAUGGUAGAGAGUGGUGUGACCUGCAGAUCCAGUUUUCCCCCCUGGAAGAGAAGUCCUACAAAACCGAGCUGAAGAUCAACGUUCGUGGGAACAGCCAGCUCCUUGUGCUG